GAAACUGAAGGAUUGGUGGAACAUCCACACAGGAAUUCAAACAUUCCGACAUACACUUUCCACCUGCCCUACAAUUCCAUACAGCGUGACCCAGACCCAGCCUAGUUGUUCAAUUUGCUAAUUGAAUGACAUCAUUCUCAUCAUGAGUGAGAAGUUCUUGGUGGAUUAUUAUUGAGCGUCGGACGCCAGAAGAAAUUUUCGCCAAACCUCGAACGAAUCGAUGUGAGUAGUCUCUCUGUCGCCGUGCAUUGCUCAUGUCAGAGUGGUCCGGGCUCUUUUCAUUUUAUAAUUUGUGUAUUAUAAUGGAAGUGGGGCGUUUCAGUUGUGCGUAGUUCGAAUUUUGUGUUGAAAAGUGGGUGUUCAGAUCAUUAUACACGAAGUUGAAGAAUAAUAUUUGCCGUUAAUUAAACAUGGACAAAGGAGCACCACCAUCGUAUCCAGGUUAUCCUAUGCCUUCGGCUCAACAAGGAGCUCCACCCCCUGGAAUGAAUCCGUAUCCUGAUCUACAAGGUGCACCACAAACCGUACAGCCUCAAGCUGGUCAAGCACAGCAACCAACAGUUGUUGUGAUAGGCGGUUGUCCAUCGUGCAGAAAUGGCAUUCUGGAAGACGAGUAUGGGUGUUGCGCAAUUUGUCUCGCCAUCUGCUGUUUCCCUGUUGGUAUCGUGUGCUGCCUUCUAAUGAAGGAACGGAAAUGUUCCAACUGUGGGGCAGUGUACCACUAAUGACAAUAUCUCUGAACAUCGAAAAAUAUUCCAAGUGAUGCAACAGCACUCGAUGCCAGUAACAAAUGAAAUGGAAUCCAGAUCGAACAAUAGUUGCUUCACGUUUUUCUUUAUAGUUUCCUUAAAUUUAUGAGGAACGUUGUUGUUCACGAUUUUGCAUUUCAAAGAUAAUAAAAAAUAUCUUAUUCCUUUUAUGAUAAGUAAGAGCAUAUUAUAACUUCUAUUUUGAUAUAUCGCCAUUUGUUUUUUUAUGUAUCACAACAAAGUUCUUGUAACCUAAA
Molecule: long non-coding RNA, 1006 nt
Organism: Harmonia axyridis
Lineage: Eukaryota; Metazoa; Arthropoda; Insecta; Coleoptera; Coccinellidae
Exons: 5
Source: RefSeq, a predicted model, not a curated record